RNAcentral lists this ribosomal RNA (259 nucleotides) under uncultured prokaryote. RNAcentral describes it as "partial 16S ribosomal RNA". It matches the Rfam family "Bacterial small subunit ribosomal RNA", at positions 524 to 782 of the family's 1533-position model. The record is from RNAcentral.
UACGUAGGGUGCGAGCGUUAAUCGGAAUUACUGGGCGUAAAGCGUGCGCAGGCGGUUUGCUAAGACAGCUGUGAAAUCCCCGGGCUUAACCUGGGAACUGCGCUUGUGACUGGCAGGCUAGAGUACGGCAGAGGGGGGUGGAAUUCCUGGUGUAGCAGUGAAAUGCGUAGAUAUCAGGAGGAACACCGAUGGCGAAGGCAGCCCCCUGGGCCUGUACUGACGCUCAUGCACGAAAGCGUGGGGAGCAAACAGGAUUAGA